AGAGUUUGAUCCUGGCUCAGACGAACGCUGGCGGCAUGCCUAACACAUGCAAGUCAACGGGAUCCGAGGCUUCGGUUCGGUGAGAGUGGCGGACGGGUGAGUAACGCGUGGGAACCUGCCCAGUGGUGGGGGAUAACUGCGGGAAACUGCAGCUAAUACCGCAUGAGCCCGAGAGGGGAAGGAUUUAUCGCCAUUGGAGGGGCCCGCGUUCGAUUAGGUAGUUGGUGAGGUAACGGCUCACCAAGCCUUCGAUCGAUAGCUGGUCUGAGAGGAUGAUCAGCCACACUGGGACUGAGAUACGGCCCAGACUCCUACGGGAGGCAGCAGUGGGGAAUAUUGGACAAUGGGGGCAACCCUGAUCCAGCAAUGCCGCGUGAGUGAUGAAGGCCUUCGGGUUGUAAAGCUCUUUUGCCAGGGACGAUGAUGACGGUACCUGGAGAAUAAGCCCCGGCUAACUUCGUG
This 462-nucleotide ribosomal RNA is filed under the name uncultured bacterium. Its description in RNAcentral is "bacterial SSU rRNA". It matches the Rfam family "Bacterial small subunit ribosomal RNA", at positions 8 to 507 of the family's 1533-position model. The record is from RNAcentral.